This 27-nucleotide non-coding RNA is filed under the name Mus musculus (house mouse). Lineage: Eukaryota; Metazoa; Chordata; Mammalia; Rodentia; Muridae. The record is from RNAcentral.
CCUAGAAUCACUUUAACAACCAGGCCA